ACAACAAUCUGAGCCCACUAUUUUCUUAAUUAUAGAAAACCAAAGGAACCACUUCAAUGUCUAUCUCCUUCUCUCCCCGUUAGAAAACACAACAACAAUCUGAAGCAGAUCUUGCGGCCUGAAAUAUCUACUUUCACCCCUCCCCACGAGAUCUGGAUCAAGAUAAGAUUCUCCUUUGGUUUUGGUUCUCUGGAUCAGGAUGAGGUUCUCUUUUUGUUUUUGAUUCAGUUUUUUUUUCUUGCUUUCUACAGAUUGAAUCUCAAAGAUCUCCGCAAGCUCUUCGCCUUUGUUUGAUUUCUGCUACUGAUUCUCUCCCACGUUUACCUACUGUCGUGGAUUGGUUCGUCUGUUGAUAUCCAAUAAAACACAUGAGCAUGUGUGCGUUCCACCCAGAUUCUCCAUGUGUUCUCCAAUCUGAUUCUUGAUUGGGUGAUGGUGGAAAAGUUGUUAUUUAAAACAACAACAAUCUGAAGCUGAUCUUGCAGCGUGAAAUCUCUACUAUCACCCCAUCCCCCGAGAUCUGGAUCAAGAUGAGGUUCUCCUUUGGUUAUGGUUCUCUGGAUUAGGAUGAGGUUCUCUUUUGGUUUUGGAUUCAGUUUUUUUCUUGCUUUCUAUGGAUUGAAUCUCGAAGAUCUGCGCAAGCUCUUCACCUUUGGAUUUCUGCUGCUGAUUCUUUUCCACGUUUACCUAUUGUCCUGGAUUGGUUCGUCUGUUGAUGUCCAAUAAAAUACAUGAGCAUGUGUACGUUCCGCCCAGGUUCUCCAUGUGUUCUCCAAACUAAUUCUUGACUGGGUGAUGGUGGAAAAUUUAUUAUUUACGUCUUGAAAGUGGGGUAGCAAGAUUUGUGCGAAGAGUACUUCAAGUCCAACAAUUUCUUUCCUGACAAGUUCCGAUCAAAGUCAAUAUGCAGGAAUCGUUCUUUUUUUGCACGUUACAUGGCUGCCACCUCCCAAGUAACUAUGAUGCGCCUCAGCCCGGCAAUUGCCCCCACUGCACCCUUACCUCCUGCAGCCAUCUUCUAAGCAUGUACCUAAGUGCUUAGCAACGUCCUCUUGGAACAACAACGACCACAUCACUAUCAUGAAGACUGGCAAGGAAGAGAGGUUGAUCAAGGCGCGGGACUAUGCCUGAGUUAUAUUUCAGCGUGUCAUGCAACCACAUGUUGACACCCACUAUUGCAUGUGACUUGCAAGAAGCAAUAGCUUGCCAUCCAUCGACAUAACAAGCACGAUGCUGACCCCCAUCUACAUGCAUUACUCGCGUGGCACAAUACAAUAAAUGUUGCAGCAUAUAUCCCUUUUCUCCAGUCAGUUUCAAACAUCCCUCUGUCUACCUGUUUGACCUGCUCCCCAUGCAUGUGCUUGAGACUUUGAGCCUUUGAAGUGAUGUUUAGAGGAAAUAGCUAUGAGUGGGUCUUUUCUUUUCUGAUGAUUGUUUAGAGAAAAUAGCUAUAUAUAUAUAUAUCCGAUAUAACCUUUGAACCAAUGCUCAAGGUCCUAUAUGUAAGACACAGUGCAUUACAUGGUAUACUCUAAGUAAGAGUAGCUUCUGUUGUGCAGGUAUUUCUCCUACAUGCAGAUUCUUAUCAACAAAGUGAAUCUCAUAGAAUAUUUAUACUCAUCAUGUAACAGUAACAUUAGCUAUUUUGUUAUGUGUAUAUUAAACAGUUUGUCUACCAACCAUUAUUUUCGAUUAUGUACUUUAAACAAAGUCGAUCCUCAUCUCCCUGAUGUUUACUGCUACAAAAUUGGUGCACGCAUGGUUCUGGCACUCAAUUUCUUUUAUGAUCCGCCAAGUAGUAGUUAAAUUUUUUCUUGCAAAGUAUAGUUGACUAAAUUUUAACAUCCGCUAUUUUGAAGGAACGGUUUAGAGAAAACAGCUAUAACAGUUUUUUCUGGUCCUAUUAUACUUGGAUCUGGUUUCUUCUAAUAUCGUGUUACUCCUAAAUAGUUCAUGUUUCAUUUUUCUCUUCAUUGUAUGUAAUCUUGUCAAAUGCCAGUUGUGCGCCUAUCUAAAUAUUAUAAUUUCUUUACUAUUAGAACUUGGUUUAAUCUAUAUGAUUACUUUCCUACUAGAUUUGUACUGUCCAUGUUUAGACAUUUACUUAGAUGAACAAAAUCCACUUAUUUGGCAAGAUGAGCAUCUAUAGAUGGUUCUUUAUUUAUCAAGUAUCCCAUAAGUCAUAAUGCACAAAAACGGAUGUUCAUAGUGUCAAUCAGUAUCUCCAGGUCGUGUGGUACAAAGUCAGGGAUGGCCGGCCUAAGAAUAAGAACAUUUUAUAUCAACGAUCAAUGCAACAUUCCCUGAGCUUAUUAAUCUAUAUCUAUACUUCUACUAAUUAGGCACUUCCUAGAAAUUCCCACGUUAAUUAGAAAUUACGAACCGCUAAUCUAUGUGGGGCCAAAUUAUUACGGUGUAGAUUAACCCAAAAGGACUCAAUAAAAAAAUCAUUUUUCUCAGUUGAAAAACAUAGUAAGAAAAAAAAAACUUUAUCUCCAUCUAUUCACAUAAUAACAAAAAACUUUUCCUCAUGUUGUCACGCCCUAGAUGCCAUCUAAUUCUUCAGAUGAAAUUUUUUUCAUAUCUAUCCUCACCGAUCAUAAAGUGAAGCGCUCACGUCAAGGAGCCCUCUAUCUUCCAUCUCAGAAAAUAAAUCACGUUAAUCCUCACCCCCCGUUUAAAAAAAACACAUCUAUCCACACCUGCCAAUCCUACAAAGAAGCAGUCACGCCCAAGUCCCCAUCUAUCUUUUGUCUCAAAGAAAAUAUCACGUAUAUCCUCACAACAAAAUCCCCUUCUACAUGCAAGGGACUCCUCUUUCGCUAUUAUUUAUCCAGCAAGCAACGUGUUCCAGCCUGCAGGAGAGCCGCCCAAUUUAUUUCUGGAUUGCUUCAGUCUCAUGGUCAUGCAGGUCCAAACUGAUGGGUUUUUUUUCUGGUGAACUUGCAUGGACUACUUGCUGCAAUUGUUCUCGGGCGAGGGAAACAAAUACAUACAAUGGGUGGAUGUGCAUGAGGCAACACAGUCAAUUGAUCACCGACAGGUUGAUUGAUUCUUUCUAUGAACAUACGUACAUGCAGUUGACAGUGAUUGCUUUCUUCUAGGUUGAUGUGCAUGAGGCAGCGCACUCAAUUGAUAACCGGCGGCACAUGACGCGCCCCGACCCGUCAAAGGUUGAAUCAAAGAAGGCAUAAGUUCUUCUACUGAUAUGAGUUCAUGGAGUCAAUCAUUGGUUCAGAUUUAUAAUGCUCAUUAUGUCUAGAAACAUUAAGGGUACAAUAAGUUCACUUGCAGAUGAGACACUUUCAACGUAUAUGCAUGACACUUCUGAUUUAAUCAUGGUGAUACAUAUAGGUCGUCGAUAAUGCCAAAACAUGCACAUACCUUUCAUGGUAGAUUAAUUGUUGACUAAUAAGAUAGUAUCUUUACUUCAUGCAUCUCCCUUUACUAAUCCGUCCGUCUUUAACUAAUUUAUAUUCACAUGGCGCUAUAUACGUGUUCCGACAUGUAGAAGAUACGCCCAAUUUGUUGGUACGCUGAAGACACCAUGUAGUGAAUUUUUUUACAUACCUGACUACCAUGUAUAUGUAGUUGUAUAAGAAAUUUAGUAUGUUUUGAAGCUUUCAAGUAUAUACUAAUUUUUUUUAGUAUACC
Long non-coding RNA from Hordeum vulgare subsp. vulgare (domesticated barley), 3654 nucleotides. RefSeq lists it as uncharacterized. NCBI's taxonomy places the organism in Eukaryota, Viridiplantae, Streptophyta, Magnoliopsida, Poales, Poaceae. The record is from RefSeq and is a predicted model, not a curated record. The transcript is spliced from 4 exons.